This 978-nucleotide ribosomal RNA is filed under the name uncultured bacterium. RNAcentral's name for it is "bacterial SSU rRNA". It matches the Rfam family "Bacterial small subunit ribosomal RNA", at positions 44 to 1069 of the family's 1533-position model. The record is from RNAcentral.
GCGCCUACACAUGCAGUCGAACGCAGUAGCAAUACUGAGUGGCAAACGGGUGAGUAUAAUGUGGGAAUCUGCCUUUUGGUUUGGAAUAACACGGGGAAACUUGUGCUAAUACCGAAUAAGCCCUUACGGGGAAAGUUUUAACGCCGAAAGAUGAGCCCGCACUUGAUUAGCUAGUUGGUAAGGUAAAAGCUUACCAAGGCAAUGAUCAAUAGCUGUUCUUAGAGGAAGACCAGCCACAUUGGGACUGAGACACGGCCCAGACUCCUACGGGAGGCAGCAGUGGGGAAUCUUGCACAAUGGGGGAAACCCUGAUGCAGCGAUGCCGCGUGAGUGAAGAAGGCCUUUGGGUUGUAAAACUCUUUCGUCGGGGAAGAAAAUGACUGUACCCGAAUAAGAAGGUCCGGCUAACUUCGUGCCAGCAGCCGCGGUAAUACGAAGGGACCUAGCGUAGUUCGGAAUUACUGGGCUUAAAGAGCUCGUAGGUGGUUAAAAAAGUUGAUGGUGAAAUCCCAAGGCUUAACCUUGGAACUGCCAUCAAAACUUUUUAGCUAGAGUGUGAUAGAGGUAAGUGGAAUUUCUAGUGUAGAGGUGAAAUUCGUAGAUAUUAGAAAGAACACCAAAUGCGAAGGCAACUUACUGGGUCAUUACUGACACUGAGGAGCGAAAGCAUGGGUAGCGAAGAGGAUUAGAUACCCUCGUAGUCCAUGCCGUAAACGAUGUGUGCUAGACGUUGGAAAUAUAUUUUUCAGUGUCGCAGCGAAAGCAUUAAGCACACCGCCUGGGGAGUACGACCGCAAGGUUAAAACUCAAAUGAAUUGACGGGGACCCGCACAAGCAGUGGAGCAUGUGGUUUAAUUCGAAGAUACGCGCAGAACCUUACCAACACUUGACAUGUUCGUCGCGAGCCUAAGAGAUUAGGCUUUUCAGUUCGGCUGGACGAAACACAGUGCUGCAUGGCUGUCGUCAGCUCGUGUCGUG